Molecule: ribosomal RNA, 492 nt
Filed under: uncultured bacterium
Lineage: Bacteria
Description: partial 16S ribosomal RNA
Rfam family: Bacterial small subunit ribosomal RNA
Source: RNAcentral
GACGAACGCUGGCGGCGUGCUUAACACAUGCAAGUCGAACGGAAAGGCCCCCACUUUUUUGGUGGGGGUGCUCGAGUGGCGAACGGGUGAGUAACACGUGGGUGAUCUGCCCUGUACUUCGGGAUAAGCUUGGGAAACUGGGUCUAAUACCGGAUAGGACCAUGGUUUAGUGUCUCAUGGUGGAAAAAUUAUUGUUUUGGUGCAGGAUGAGCUCGCGGCCUAUCAGCUUGUUGGUGGGGUAAUGGCCUACCAAGGCGUCGACGGGUAGCCGGCCUGAGAGGGUGGACGGCCACAUUGGGACUGAGAUACGGCCCAGACUCCUACGGGAGGCAGCAGUGGGGAAUCUUGAACAAUGGGCGCAAGCCUGAUGCAGCGACGCCGCGUGGGGGAUGACGGCCUUCGGGUUGUAAACUCCUUUCGUUAGGGACGAAGCCGCACCUUUUUUGGGUGUGGUGACGGUACCUUUGUGAAGAAGCACCGGCUAACUACGUG